Molecule: ribosomal RNA, 497 nt
Filed under: uncultured bacterium
Lineage: Bacteria
Description: partial 16S ribosomal RNA
Rfam family: Bacterial small subunit ribosomal RNA
Source: RNAcentral
GAUGAACGCUGGCGGCGUGCCUAAUACAUGCAAGUCGAGCGAACGGACGAGAAGCUUGCUUCUCUGAUGUUAGCGGCGGACGGGUGAGUAACACGUGGAUAACCUACCUAUAAGACUGGGAUAACUUCGGGAAACCGGAGCUAAUACCGGAUGAUAUUUUGAACCGCAUGGUUCAAAAGUGAAAGACGGUCUUGCUGUCACUUAUAGAUGUAUCCGCGCUGCAUUAGCUAGUUGGUAAGGUAACGGCUUACCAAGGCAACGAUGCAUAGCCGACCUGAGAGGGUGAUCGGCCACACUGGAACUGAGACACGGUCCAGACUCCUACGGGAGGCAGCAGUAGGGAAUCUUCCGCAAUGGGCGAAAGCCUGACGGAGCAACGCCGCGUGAGUGAUGAAGGUCUUCGGAUCGUAAAACUCUGUUAUUAGGGAAGAACAUAUGUGUAAGUAACUGUGCACAUCCUGACGGUACCUAAUCAGAAAGCCACGGCUAACUACGUG